RNAcentral lists this ribosomal RNA (914 nucleotides) under uncultured bacterium. Its description in RNAcentral is "bacterial SSU rRNA". It matches the Rfam family "Bacterial small subunit ribosomal RNA", at positions 15 to 927 of the family's 1533-position model. The record is from RNAcentral.
GAUCAUGGCUCGGAUGAACGCUAGCGGCAGCUUAAUACAUGCAAGUCGAGGGGCAGCAUGAAGUAGCAAUACUUUGAUGGCGACCGGCAAACGGGUGCGGAACACGUACACAACCUUCCUUUUAGUGGGGAAUAGCCCAGAGAAAUUUGGAUUAAUGCCCCGUAACAUAACGAUGUGGCAUCACAUUGUUAUUAUAGCUUCGGCGCUAGAUGAUGGGUGUGCGUAUGAUUAGAUAGUUGGCGAGGUAACGGCUCACCAAGUCUACGAUCAUUAGCUGAUGUGAGAGCAUGAUCAGCCACACGGGCACUGAGACACGGGCCCGACUCCUACGGGAGGCAGCAGUAAGGAAUAUUGGUCAAUGGACGCAAGUCUGAACCAGCUAUGCCGCGUGAAGGAUUAAGGUCCUCUGGAUUGUAAACUUCUUUUAUCUGGGACGAAAAAAGGUCUUUCUAGAUCACUUGACGGUACCAGAUGAAUAAGCACCGGCUAACUCCGUGCCAGCAGCCGCGGUAAUACGGAGGGUGCAAGCGUUAUCCGGAUUCACUGGGUUUAAAGGGUGCGUAGGCGGGCAGGUAAGUCAGUGGUGAAAUCCUGGAGCUCAACUCCAGAACUGCCAUUGAUACUAUCUGUCUUGAAUAUUGUGGAGGUAAGCGGAAUAUGUCAUGUAGCGGUGAAAUGCUUAGAUAUGACAUAGAACACCCAUUGCGAAGGCAGCUUACUACGCAUAUAUUGACGCUGAGGCACGAAAGCGUGGGGAUCAAACAGGAUUAGAUACCCCGGUAGUCCACGCCCUAAACGAUGGAUACUCGACAUACGCGAUACACUGUGUGUGUCUGAGCGAAAGCAUUAAGUAUCCCACCUGGGAAGUACGUUCGCAAGAAUGAAACUCAAAGGAAUUGGCGGGGGUCCGCACA